GAUGAACGCUGGCGGCGUGCCUAAUACAUGCAAGUCGAGCGAACAGACGAGGAGCUUGCUCCUCUGACGUUAGCGGCGGACGGGUGAGUAACACGUGGAUAACCUACCUAUAAGACUGGGAUAACUUCGGGAAACCGGAGCUAAUACCGGAUAAUAUAUUGAACCGCAUGGUUCAAAAGUGAAAGACGGUUUUGCUGUCACUUAUAGAUGGAUCCGCGCCGCAUUAGCUAGUUGGUAAGGUAACGGCUUACCAAGGCAACGAUGCGUAGCCGACCUGAGAGGGUGAUCGGCCACACUGGAACUGAGACACGGUCCAGACUCCUACGGGAGGCAGCAGUAGGGAAUCUUCCGCAAUGGGCGAAAGCCUGACGGAGCACCGCCGCGUGAGUGAUGAAGGUCUUCGGAUCGUAAAACUCUGUUAUUAGGGAAGAACAAAUGUGUAAGUAACUAUGCACGUCUUGACGGUACCUAAUCAGAAAGCCACGGCUAACUACGUG
This 497-nucleotide ribosomal RNA is filed under the name uncultured bacterium. RNAcentral describes it as "partial 16S ribosomal RNA". It matches the Rfam family "Bacterial small subunit ribosomal RNA", at positions 28 to 507 of the family's 1533-position model. The record is from RNAcentral.